This 521-nucleotide ribosomal RNA is filed under the name Nerophis ophidion (straightnose pipefish). RNAcentral's name for it is "partial large subunit ribosomal RNA". It matches the Rfam family "Bacterial large subunit ribosomal RNA", at positions 1854 to 2578 of the family's 2925-position model. The record is from RNAcentral. Lineage: Eukaryota; Metazoa; Chordata; Actinopteri; Syngnathiformes; Syngnathidae.
CUGCCUGCCCGGUGACUAUACGUUUAACGGCCGCAGUAUUUUAACUGUGCGAAGGUAGCGCAAUCACUUGUCUUUUAAAUGGAGACCUGUAUGAAUGGCAUGACGAGGGCUUAACUGUCUCCUUCUCCCGGUCAAUGAAAUUGAUCUCCCCGUGCAGAAGCGGGGAUAAAAACAUAAGACGAGAAGACCCUGUGGAGCUUCUAGACACACAGAAGUUUAUGUCAAUUACAUUCAAUAAAAUAAUAAACUAAAUAACACACUACUGAAAGUCUUUGGUUGGGGCGACUAUGGGGAAAUAAAUAACCCCCAUGAGGAAGAAAAUGAUUUCUUAAAGACAAGAGUUACGACUCAAAACAUCAGAAUAUCUGACCUACAUGAUCCGGUAAUACCGAUCAACGAAACAAGUUACCCCAGGGAUAACAGCGCAAUCCCCUCCAAGAGUUCUUAUCAACGAGGGGGUUUACGACCUCGAUGUUGGAUCAGGACAUCCUAAUGGUGCAGCCGCUAUUAAGGGUUCGUUU